RNAcentral lists this ribosomal RNA (621 nucleotides) under uncultured bacterium. Its description in RNAcentral is "bacterial SSU rRNA". It matches the Rfam family "Bacterial small subunit ribosomal RNA", at positions 338 to 956 of the family's 1533-position model. The record is from RNAcentral.
CCUACGGGAGGCAGCAGUGGGGUAAUUUUGGACAAUGGGCGCAAGCCUGAUCCAGCAAUGCCGCGUGAGUGAAGAAGGCCUUCGGGUUGUAAAGCUCUUUUGUCAGGGAAGAAACGGUUGGGGCUAAUAUCCUCGGCUAAUGACGGUACCUGAAGAAUAAGCACCGGCUAACUACGUGCCAGCAGCCGCGGUAAUACGUAGGGUGCAAGCGUUAAUCGGAAUUACUGGGCGUAAAGCGUGCGCAGGCGGUUUUUGUAAGUCUGUCGUGAAAGCCCCGGGCUUAACCUGGGAAUUGCGAUGGAGACUGCAAGGCUUGAAUCUGGCAGAGGGGGGUAGAAUUCCACGUGUAGCAGUGAAAUGCGUAGAGAUGUGGAGGAACACCGAUGGCGAAGGCAGCCCCCUGGGUCAAGAUUGACGCUCAUGCACGAAAGCGUGGGGAGCAAACAGGAUUAGAUACCCUGGUAGUCCACGCCCUAAACGAUGUCUACUAGUUGUCGGGUCUUAAUUGACUUGGUAACGCAGCUAACGCGUAGAAGUAGACCGCCUGGGGAGUACGGUCGCAAGAUUAAAACUAAUGAAUUGACCCGGNUGAGACGAGACGAGACGACGACGAGGAGGAGG